Long non-coding RNA from Oreochromis aureus, 1591 nucleotides. NCBI's taxonomy places the organism in Eukaryota, Metazoa, Chordata, Actinopteri, Cichliformes, Cichlidae. The record is from Ensembl.
ACAGGUGUGGUGGAGGUGACUCUGGACGUACUAGUUUGAAGCGUGCUUGUUGCUGGAGUGGUGGUGCUUGUUGCUGUGGGGCUGGCAGUGGUGGUUUUGGUGGUUGUAGCAGGAGAUGGUGUAGCAGUCGUAGGUGGGGUGGUUGUAGCAGGAGAUGGUCUAGCAGUCGUAGGUGGGGUGGUUGUAGCAGGAGAUGGUGUAGCAGUCGUAGGUGGGGUGGUUGUAGCAGGAGAUGGUGUAGCAGUCGUAGGUGGGGUGGUUGUAGCAGGAGAUGCUGUAGCAGUCGUAGGUGGGGUGGUUGUAGCAGGAGAUGCUGUAGCAGUCGUAGGUGGGGUGGUUGUAGCAGGAGAUGCUGUAGCAGUCGUAGGUGGGGUGGUUGUAGCAGGAGAUGCUGUAGCAGUCGUAGGUGGGGUGGUUGUUGCGGACGUUGUUAUGAUGCUCGUGGUGGUUGUAGUAUCUGCAGUUGUAACUGGGAAACUAUCACCGGAAGUGGUGGGUGGUGUGGUUUUGGUGACUGUGGUAUGAGAUGGUGACAUGGAUGUAGGUGUAGUUGCUGAUGUUGUUAUGAAUAGUAUGGGUGCAGUCUCAGUGGUUGUGGUGGGGGUGGUGGUACUGGCAGUGGUAGGUGUGGUUUUGACGGCUGUGGUUAGAGACGGCUUCGUGGCUGUGGGUAUGGGUAUGGUUCCUGCAGUUGUAGCGGGAGUGGAGGCACCAGUGGACGUUUGGAUGGUAUGUGUCAAGCUGGCUGUUCUAGCUGGCGGAGGGAUGGUUGUGUGUGUAGUUGCUGGUGUUGUUAUGGGUGGUGCGACUGUAGUCUCUGCGGUUGUGACAGGGGUGGUGCUACUGGCGGCUGUAGGAGAUGUGGUUUUGAUGGCUGUGGUUGGAGCAGGUGCUGUUAUGCUGCUCCGAGAGGGUGUGGUUACAGCAGCGGUGGUGCUGAUGUUUGUUGUACUCGUUUGUGGGACUGAUGGAGCUGAGGUGCUACUUGCAGUGACUGCAUCACCUGUUGGUGCUGUUGAUAAUACUCCUUGAGUCAGACUCUCUGAGAUGUUUGGAUGAAGGGUGGAGUCUGUGUGUGUGGGUGGGGUCUGGCCGUGAGUCCUGGGUGGUCUAUGUGUGCUGGUGCUGGAUGCAGACGGUGGAGGAGUGGUGGUGGUGGGUGCAGCUGAGGCGGUGCUGUCUGAGGAUGCUGCAGAUGUUUGGUGUGUGGAUCCAUCCUCAGGUUGUAACUCAGUUAUGACGUCUGUUGCUCCACCUGUGCUCACACGUGAGGAACCCAGCGUCAUGCCUUCACCUCCGCUCGACUUGGACUGGUUUCUAGUGAUGGAGGACCAUGACUUGUACGACGACGUGACCACCUCCGUCCUGACUAGGGAGUCACCUCCACCUGACGAGGUCUCCGAGGCGAGUGACUGGUCGGUGGUAAAAGCAGCUGUGCCAUUUAAAGGGGAUAGGUGGGUGACUGCAGGGGAAACAUCUGGAGGUGACAGAUUGUCCGUGACAGCGUUCCCAGGACGCCUGAUGGUUUGGGCGGAGUUAGACAGGUCCAGCGGUGUGGAUGAAGAAAAGGUGGAGGUGGCUGGAGAUGUGU